UAAACUUAAUGAGCCGCCUUCUACA
This 25-nucleotide non-coding RNA is filed under the name Rattus norvegicus (Norway rat). Lineage: Eukaryota; Metazoa; Chordata; Mammalia; Rodentia; Muridae. The record is from RNAcentral.